This 98-nucleotide non-coding RNA is filed under the name chicken gut metagenome. RNAcentral describes it as "THF riboswitch". It matches the Rfam family "THF (Tetrahydrofolate) riboswitch aptamer". Rfam says of the family: THF riboswitch presents a pseudoknot that joins P1-P2 and the loop of P3 and two THF binding. The record is from RNAcentral.
GCAGAGUAGGAUGGUAAGCGCUAAGUGCCUGCGGAACGGGGAGUUGUCGGCAGGACGAAAAGCAAUUUGCUUGUGGUUUACCUUCCGCAUCCCGCUGC